GUGCUCGCUUUGGCAGCACAUAUACUAAAAUUGGAACAAUGCAGAAAAGAUUAGCAUGGCCCUGCACAAGGAUGACACGCAAAUUCGUGAANCAUUCCACAUGUUC
This 106-nucleotide small nuclear RNA is filed under the name Salvator merianae (Argentine black and white tegu). The record is from RNAcentral. Lineage: Eukaryota; Metazoa; Chordata; Lepidosauria; Squamata; Teiidae.